CAUUAAAGGAAUAUCAGGCUUUCGAGCCCUAUUCUCAUACCCUGUUUACCUCACCAUGUUGCUUCGGCAGCUCUGCCGGCGGCAGUCAGUGGCCCAGAAGUUGAGAGGCAUGUAAAAAUCCUCUCCCUCGGUCGCUACCCGCCGGUUAUCUGUCAGAGGACCCAAAACUCUUGAAUCUUUGAAGUCUGAGUACUAUAUAAUAGUUAAAACUUUCAACAACGGAUCUCUUGGUUCUGGCAUCGAUGAAGAACGCAGCGAAAUGCGAUAAGUAAUGUGAAUUGCAGAAUUCAGUGAAUCAUCGAAUCUUUGAACGCACAUUGCGCUCCCUGGUAUUCCGGGGAGCAUGCCUGUUCGAGCGUCAUUACAACCCUCAAGCUCUGCUUGGUGUUGGGCUCGCCCUGUAGGGCCUGCCUCAAAGUCAGUGGCGGCACUGUCUGACCCUAAGCGUAGUAAUACUCGUCGCUUUUGGGCUUGGACUGUUGCCCCCAGCAACCCCCACACUUUAAAGGUUGACCUCGGAUCAGGUAGGGAUACCCGCUGAACUUAAGCAUAUCAAUAAGCGGAGGA
RNAcentral lists this ribosomal RNA (567 nucleotides) under fungal sp. PIMO_240. Its description in RNAcentral is "eukaryotic LSU rRNA". The stretch from base 208 to 361 matches the Rfam family "5.8S ribosomal RNA". The record is from RNAcentral. Lineage: Eukaryota; Fungi.